Molecule: ribosomal RNA, 200 nt
Filed under: uncultured bacterium
Lineage: Bacteria
Description: partial 16S ribosomal RNA
Rfam family: Bacterial small subunit ribosomal RNA
Source: RNAcentral
GAUGAACGCUGGCGGCGUGCCUAACACAUGCAAGUCGAACGGUCGACUUCGGUCGAUAGUGGCGCACGGGUGAGUAACACGUGGUUGAUCUACCCUCAAGUAGGGGAUAACGUUCCGAAAGGAAUGCUAAUACCCUAUAAGCUCCCGGUGUUUAGAAGACUGGGAGAAAAGUUCCGGCGCUUGAGGAGGAGACUGCGAAC